GCCUUAGUGGUGUAGUGGUCAGCACGCUCGACGCGUAACCGUGAAAGGUCCGUGGUUCGAUUCCCGGUGAAGGCG
Molecule: transfer RNA, 75 nt
Filed under: Stegodyphus mimosarum
Lineage: Eukaryota; Metazoa; Arthropoda; Arachnida; Araneae; Eresidae
Rfam family: tRNA
About the family: Transfer RNA (tRNA) molecules are approximately 80 nucleotides in length. Their secondary structure includes four short double-helical elements and three loops (D, anti-codon, and T loops).
Source: Rfam by way of RNAcentral